Molecule: long non-coding RNA, 177 nt
Filed under: Sitophilus oryzae (rice weevil)
Lineage: Eukaryota; Metazoa; Arthropoda; Insecta; Coleoptera; Curculionidae
Description: uncharacterized LOC115891799
Source: RNAcentral
UAUAAUCUUCCUUUCAGCACGUCAUUUAUAUAUUUAAUAAAUAAUAAUAAUAACAUUUUACAGUCACAGGUCACAGAUAAGAAUCAGUGGCCUUGAUAUGGUUUAGAGCCAGUCAACAUCUUGGUCACUCCCAAAUUGAGCUGGCGGUUGCCUUGUAGCAGAGCCAUCAUAAAAAAA